CGGAGGGUGCGAGCGUUGCUCGGAAUCACUGGGCGUAAAGCGUACGCAGGCUGUCGUACAAGUCGGGUGUGAAAGCCCGGGGCUCAACCCCGGAAUUGCGCCCGAGACUGUAUGACUUGAAUGCGGGAGAGGGAAGCGGAAUUCCUGGUGUAGAGGUGAAAUUCGUAGAUAUCAGGAGGAACACCAGUGGCGAAAGCGGCUUCCUGGCCCGACAUUGACGCUCAUGUACGAAAGCGCGGGGAGCAAACAGGAUUAGAUACCCUGGUAGUCCGCGCCGUAAACGAUGAGUGCUAGCUGCUGGGAAUGUUUACCGUCUCAGUGGCGAAGCCAACGCAUUAAGCACUCCGCCUGGGAAGUACGGCCGCAAGGCUA
Molecule: ribosomal RNA, 372 nt
Filed under: uncultured organism
Description: bacterial SSU rRNA
Rfam family: Bacterial small subunit ribosomal RNA
Source: RNAcentral